This 26-nucleotide non-coding RNA is filed under the name Mus musculus (house mouse). The record is from RNAcentral. Lineage: Eukaryota; Metazoa; Chordata; Mammalia; Rodentia; Muridae.
UCCCGAACUUGGGUGAUCGUCGCAGC